Molecule: ribosomal RNA, 501 nt
Filed under: uncultured bacterium
Lineage: Bacteria
Description: partial 16S ribosomal RNA
Rfam family: Bacterial small subunit ribosomal RNA
Source: RNAcentral
AUUGAACGCUGGCGGCAGGCUUAACACAUGCAAGUCGAGCGGAGAUGAGGUGCUUGCACCUUAUCUUAGCGGCGGACGGAUGAGUAAUGCUUAGGAAUCUGCCUAUUAGUGGGGGACAACAUUCCGAAAGGAAUGCUAAUACCGCAUACGUCCUACGGGAGAAAGCAGGGGAUCUUCGGACCUUGCGCUAAUAGAUGAGCCUAAGUCGGAUUAGCUAGUUGGUGGGGUAAAGGCCUACCAAGGCGACGAUCUGUAGCGGGUCUGAGAGGAUGAUCCGCCACACGGGGACUGAGACACGGCCCAGACUCCUACGGGAGGCAGCAGUGGGGAAUAUUGGACAAUGGGGGGAACCCUGAUCCAGCCAUGCCGCGUGUGUGAAGAAGGCCUUAUGGUUGUAAAGCACUUUAAGCGAGGAGGAGGCUACUGAGACUAAUACUCUUGGAUAGUGGACGUUACUCGCGGAAUAAGCACCGGCUAACUCUGUGCCAGCAGCCGCCGUAA